RNAcentral lists this ribosomal RNA (864 nucleotides) under Xylodon serpentiformis. RNAcentral's name for it is "partial large subunit ribosomal RNA". It matches the Rfam family "Eukaryotic large subunit ribosomal RNA", at positions 66 to 915 of the family's 3401-position model. Lineage: Eukaryota; Fungi; Basidiomycota; Agaricomycetes; Hymenochaetales; Schizoporaceae. The record is from RNAcentral.
UAACAAGGAUUCCCCUAGUAACUGCGAGUGAAGCGGGAAAAGCUCAAAUUUAAAAUCUAACAGUUUCACUGUUCGAGUUGUAAUCUGGAGAAGCAUUUUCCGUGUUGGACCGUGUACAAGUCUCUUGGAAUAGAGCGUCAUAGAGGGUGAAAAUCCCGUCCAUGACACGGACUACCGAUACUUUGUGAUAUGCUCUCGAAGAGUCGAGUUGUUUGGGAAUGCAGCUCAAAAUGGGUGGUAAAUUCCAUCUAAAGCUAAAUAUUGGCGAGAGACCGAUAGCGAACAAGUACCGUGAGGGAAAGAUGAAAAGUACUUUGGAAAGAGAGUUAAACAGUAUGUGAAAUUGUUGAAAGGGAAACGCUUGAAGUCAGUCGCGUUGUCUGAGACUCAGCCUUGCUCUUUUGCCUGGUGUAUUUCUUAGUUAACGGGUCAACAUCAAUUUUGGUUGGUGGAUAAAGGUGGAGGGAAUGUGGCAUUCUUCGGGAUGUGUUAUAGCCCUUUAUUGCAUACACUGACUGGGAUUGAGGAACGCAGCACGCCUUUUUGGCCGGGGGUUCGCCUCACGUAACGUGCUUAGGAUGUUGACAUAAUGGCUUUAAGCGACCCGUCUUGAAACACGGACCAAGGAGUCUAACAUGCUCGCGAGUGUUAGGGUGGAAAACCCUUGCGCGUAAUGAAAGUGAAAAUUGGGACCCUUCACGGGGGCACCGAUGCCCGGCCCUAAUGUCUCUGACGGUGCUGCGGUAGAGCGCGUAUGUUGGGACCCGAAAGAUGGUGAACUAUGCCUGAAUAGGGUGAAGCCAGGGGAAACUCUGGUGGAGGCUCGUAGCGAUUCUGACGUGCAAAUCGAUCGUCAAAUUUGGG